CCGUUCGGUUACCCGUAGCUUGAAAUGUAAGCCUACAAAUUAUGCCGCAAAAAAUCUGCAUUGUUAUCAAGAAAAUUAAUUUUCAGAUAAUCAUAUCCGCAUUCUCAACACAAAAGUGAGCUGGCAACAACAGCUACCAGUUACGUUCUACAGAAUCUCAGCUGAUUGGUUGUUCGAGAGGCCCCGGAUGGUGCCUGAGCAGACGACGUACGGCUAGUGUUCCCGCGUCUGCUUCUGUCCUGAUUCCGAAGCUUCAAAGUGUUCCUAAUUGCUGUACGCGGCAUUUGUUGUCAAGGAUGCUGGAUGAUAAUGUCUGCAGUGUGCCUUACUGCAAGAAUACCUCAAUGAGGAAUGACCAUGAUGUACGGAUUUUUCGAUGUACGGAGCGAAAGUGGUAACCUACGAUUGCAUGCUAUCAUUACUGAUAGCCCCAACUUUGCACUUUGUUGUGUGCUAUCAAGCGUGGGAUAAAACUGAAAACAGCGUCUCGUGUGUGUUCGAUGCACUUCUCAGACUCGUGUGCAGUACGACGUAGUGAUAUCUUCAAAGCAAGACUGAGCAUGCCACCGACAAAGAAGAAAAGAAAAAAAAGUCGCUAAAAGUUGAUGUCGUGCCGACCGUCUUUUUAUGACUCCUGUGGAGAAGAUAUAUGAAGAAUGAAACCCAUGCAUAUUCCAAGCACAUCGAUGGACAUUCGCACUUGGGACACAAUGACAGGCUAUACACAGGUGCUGGGGCUCAUACGGUGGUGUCCUACAUUCAAGAUCACCAACGAAGCUCCGGAUGUUGAAGUGCUCCCUGCUCGUGCAUGUGGUAGCAAACUGAUUUUUGCAGAAGCUGUGGAGCAACAGAGUGAAGUGGGAUCAAACUAGAGACAAAAAAAAGAAGAGGAAAUGUACUAUCUAAGCAUCUACAACCGAUUGCAUUUACCCUCCUUGCAGGGGUUCCAUAAGUGAAGAGUUAAUGCUGCUGACCCACCCGUGUGUGCCACUUUGAGACCCACCACCACAGCUAUUCAAAACGGCCCUUUUCAGGCAACCCCACACUUCUACAAGGAGAUAGCACUGCAAGAAGAACCUAAGUGCAUUCAGUUAAGCUUUGUGCCCGUCUGUUCUUUCUUGGAUACCUGCAUUUUCACUACAACAAUGAAAGAAGCUACAUUAGUGACAGCCCACUUCAGUGCUGCAGUUGUAGAAAUAUCUAUCUUGGCUUCGAUUUCCCCUAUUGGUCUCAGAAAGCAGAAAUUUCCCAACAGCAUCUAUGGUGACCUAAUAUGUCUCUAUCCCAGUAAUUGGUACAUCCUCAGACAACAUAUUACUCAAUUAGGUAUGCACACCCAAGGUAGGUAUGCAUCAAGGGAAGUAACAGGCAGCAAAGCACAUCUGAGAAACUGAAAUAUGAAUGUGCAAAAUUUCAUUUUUCCUGAUUGUCAAGGUUUGCACAAAGACGGUUUUGAGUAGGAUCUGUUAGGAGAUAUAUAUCUGUGAAAUUAAGCUGGCAUUUCUGUUUUGUUGUUUACACACCGACCAUUGCAGCUGCACUGUUUUAAUUUGUCCUCCAUGGCUUCGACAAAAUCAUUCCUGCACAGUUUCACAAGGCUGAAGAUUUUCAGAACUCCUUAUUGUGUAGAUGCUGCGCGCGUACAAUACAGUAAUCCCUCGUUACAACGAAGUCGCUUUAUUCGAAUUAUCGCUUUAUUCGAAGUUCCCCUGUGUCCCGUAUAAAACGCAUGCAGUUUUAACUGGAUUAUUCGAAGCAUACUGUCGCCCGACUCCGCAUUUUACGAAGCGCAAGCCGGCCCGUAUGCCCGCAGCUCCCGCACGAACUUAGUCGCGGACUCGCGGAGCGGUGGAGACGCUGGGCAGCGUUCUCUGCAAGCGUUCUUUCCCUCGUAGAAAAGAGGCGAAAGUUUCAUACCCUCUCUCCUUUUCUGCACGGAAAGGGUAGCACGCACGUUCCACUUCGCUCGAUCGGCGUCUUGUUCUCCGCGCAGUUCCCACGUUUUCCAAUGACUCCACCGAAGAUCCUACGGAAGUGUAUUACGCUCAAGCAAUAAGUCGCGCUAAUUAGAGAAGUUGAAAAAGCUACUAUGCCUUUCGUGGUAGAAGCUAGGGGCAGCUAAGAUCGCAAAUUGCAUUGCGCACGCUGGAUUUUCCAGGGGUCGUAUGCACGACGAACAAGAGCACGUCGCAGACAGAGGACUGCGACGAUCUCUACAGGCGAGUGCAUGACGAGUGCAUGAGCUCGUCAGACAGGAGGCGGACGACGACUUCUCUUCUUUUGCACUUGAAGAUGCGGAUGUCCCCGUCGUCUGUCCUACCACGGACAAGGAUAUUGUGGACACUGUCAUAGGACGCCGAUGCGAAAGUGACGAUAGCUCGGAUGAUGAGCCCCGGGAAGUUCCAACGACGGCUGAGACAUGGGACAUGCUCCGUUUGAUCCACAAUAAAAUUGAGUGCGGCGGUGGUGACGACGGCCUCCUGCAGUGCGUGCACAGACUGGAGCAGGCCCUCCUGGCGCCCAACAAGGCCGCGCGUCAGACGCAGCUCACCUCUUUUUUGUAAUGGUAUAAAUAAUAAAUGGUAAUGGUAUAAAUAAAAGUGCUACCAAGCUGAUAACUUCCCAACGUAUGUGUGGUUUGGGAUACCGUUGUUUGCGCGCAGUUCGGGCACCACUGCAGCAUCCCGACGACUUCGUUGUAACGAGGGAUUACUGUAUUUACAUAACAUAACAUAACACUUUAUAUAAUGGUUGAAAUACUAGCAGAAAAUUUGGACUGUCGUGUAGAUUACCCUUAAUUCAAGGGAAUACGUACCACUUGGAAUAAAUUUGAACGAGACGUGUCA
Long non-coding RNA from Ornithodoros turicata, 2846 nucleotides. RefSeq lists it as uncharacterized. Lineage: Eukaryota; Metazoa; Arthropoda; Arachnida; Ixodida; Argasidae. The transcript has 3 exons. The record is from RefSeq and is a predicted model, not a curated record.